GAGUUUGAUUCAUGGCUCAGAGUGAACGCUGGCGGCAUGCUUUACACAUGCAAGUUCGAACGGUAACAGGGAGCUUGCUCCGCUGACGAGUGGCGAACGGGUGAGUAAUAUAUCGGAACGUACCCAAGAGUGGGGGAUAACGUAGCGAAAGUUACGCUAAUACCGCAUACGAUCUAUGGAUGAAAGCAGGGGACCUUCGGGCCUUGUGCUCCUGGAGCGGCCGAUAUCUGAUUAGCUAGUUGGUGAGGUAAAGGCUCACCAAGGCGACGAUCAGUAGCUGGUCUGAGAGGACGACCAGCCACACUGGAACUGAGACACGGUCCAGACUCCUACGGGAGGCAGCAGUGGGGAAUUUUGGACAAUGGGCGCAAGCCUGAUCCAGCAAUGCCGCGUGAGUGAAGAAGGCCUUCGGGUUGUAAAGCUCUUUUGUCAGGGAAGAAACGGCUGUGGCUAAUAUCCACGGCUAAUGACGGUACCUGAAGAAUAAGCACCGGCUAACUACGUGCCAGCAGCCGCGGUAAUACGUAGGGUGCAAGCGUUAAUCGGAAUUACUGGGCGUAAAGCGUGCGCAGGCGGUUUUGUAAGUCUGUCGUGAAAUCCCCGGGCUCAACCUGGGAAUUGCGAUGGAGACUGCAAGCUAGAAUCUGGCAGAGGGGGGGUAGAAUUCCACAUGUAGCAGUGAAAUGCGUAGAGAUGUGGAGGNACACGAUGNCGAANGCAGCCCCNUGGGUCAAGAUUGACGCUCAUGCACGAAAGCGUGGGGAGCAAACAGGAUUAGAUACCCUGGUAGUCCACGCCCUAAACGAUGUCUACUAGUUGUCGGGUUUUAAUUAACUUGGUAACGCAGCUAACGCGUGAAGUAGACCGCCUGGGGAGUACGGUCGCAAGAUUAAAACUCAAAAGGAAUUGACGGGGACCCGCACAAGCGGUGGAUGAUGUGGAUUAAUUCGAUGCAACGCGAAAAACCUUACCUACCCUUGACAUGUCAGGAAGACCGGAGAGAUCUGGUUGUGCCCGAAAGGGAACCUGAACACAGGUGCUGCAUGGCUGUCGUCAGCUCGUGUCGUGAGAUGUUGGGUUAAGUCCCGCAACGAGCGCAACCCUUGUCAUUAGUUGCUACGCAAGAGCACUCUAAUGAGACUGCCGGUGACAAACCGGAGGAAGGUGGGGAUGACGUCAAGUCCUCAUGGCCCUUAUGGGUAGGGCUUCACACGUCAUACAAUGGUACAUACAGAGGGCCGCCAACCCGCGAGGGGGAGCUAAUCCCAGAAAGUGUAUCGUAGUCCGGAUCGUAGUCUGCAACUCGACUACGUGAAGUUGGAAUCGCUAGUAAUCGCGGAUCAGCAUGCCGCGGUGAAUACGUUCCCGGGUCUUGUACACACCGCCCGUCACACCAUGGGAGCGGGUUUUACCAGAAGUAGGUAGCUUAACCGCAAAGGAGGGCGCU
RNAcentral lists this ribosomal RNA (1447 nucleotides) under uncultured Massilia sp. RNAcentral describes it as "16S ribosomal RNA". It matches the Rfam family "Bacterial small subunit ribosomal RNA". The record is from RNAcentral. Lineage: Bacteria; Pseudomonadati; Pseudomonadota; Betaproteobacteria; Burkholderiales; Oxalobacteraceae.